This 472-nucleotide ribosomal RNA is filed under the name uncultured bacterium. Its description in RNAcentral is "partial 16S ribosomal RNA". It matches the Rfam family "Bacterial small subunit ribosomal RNA", at positions 28 to 507 of the family's 1533-position model. The record is from RNAcentral.
GACGAACGCUGGCGGCGUGCUUAACACAUGCAAGUCGAACGCUGAAGCUUGGUGCUUGCACUGGGUGGAUGAGUGGCGAACGGGUGAGUAAUACGUGAGUAACCUGCCCUUGACUCUGGGAUAAGCCUGGGAAACUGGGUCUAAUACUGGAUAUGACAUGCCACUGCAUGGUGGUGUGUGGAAAGGGUUUUACUGGUUUUGGAUGGGCUCACAGCCUAUCAGCUUGUUGGUGGGGUAAUGGCCUACCAAGGCGACGACGGGUAGCCGGCCUGAGAGGGUGACCGGCCACACUGGGACUGAGACACGGCCCAGACUCCUACGGGAGGCAGCAGUGGGGAAUAUUGCACAAUGGGCGGAAGCCUGAUGCAGCGACGCCGCGUGAGGGAUGACGGCCUUCGGGUUGUAAACCUCUUUCAGCACGGAAGAAGCGAGAGUGACGGUACGUGCAGAAGAAGCGCCGGCUAACUACGUG